This is a long non-coding RNA of Esox lucius (northern pike), 1810 nucleotides long. Lineage: Eukaryota; Metazoa; Chordata; Actinopteri; Esociformes; Esocidae. The record is from Ensembl.
GUGUGGAGCUCUGGGUUAUAUCUGAUGGGCUACAUUUUCUCUUUGUUUUGCGAAUGGAACAUUUCAAGCACUAUGCUACUCUAGAUAGGUUAACGUGCAUUCAUCGGGUAUACAUUUGUUACCCCAAACGACUAGUUAGAGAUGGGUCAUCUAAGUUGUUAUUGUUUUUCAUAUCCUGUUUUGUUGGGUUGCCUCAUCCAUCUCAAAAAUCAUCAGGUCAGCAUGGGGGUAGAGAAUAUCUAAAAGCCUUGAGACCUGUUCAGACCUAUCGCUGUCUCACAUUUUCUCGCCAACACACACAAACACACACACACACACACACAUUAUUUGUAUUUAUUUUGUAUCAUAAACUAGCUCAGACAAGACCCGAAAAAAAUUAAUCAAACUGAUGACGCACCUCAAAAUAUUUUGUUUGGCUAAAAUGAAAUGAUUACAAAUACUUCACUAAGCAAAGGUGCCUCCCUAAAGACCAAUUUGGAAUGAUUUGUUGUCCCAGUGUACGGCAGUCUGGGGGUGAGGUUAUAUAAAGGAGGUCUGAGGAGGAGAUUGGGCAUUCCUCUGAAACACCCGAGACACAUCACGAAGAGGUCAACCUGGUGCCGUGUCCACUGCUGCCAUCAUCAUGUCCAAACUGAUCUGUGGGCUUCUCCUCCUGGUCGUCGUGGUGUCCUUUUGGUGCGACAACAGAGGUGAAUAUGGUACCAUAUACUGCUGGCUAUGGUGUUUUUCACACCUUCUGCUUUACACUGGUAAACAUUUCCGUCCUUAUCCCUACCAAACAGCACUAUGUCAAUGACUAAGAUCUUGCACAACAAAUGUACUUCAGUACUUCUUCAGUGGUUGAUCAGUAAUAAGUUUACAUGUAUUUCAUAUACGUUUAUGUUUCAACUUAAGAAUGGAAACAAUGAUUAGUGAAGGUCAACGCAUUCUCCUUUCUGUGUGUAGUCUCUGCUUCCAAAUGGGUUCCGAGGAACAUGCGGAGGUGCUGGUGCAAAGAGAACUGCCACAAGUCAUCGUCUCCAAAAACCGAUGUGGAAAAACUGAGAUUUCGGAAAUGCCUUUGCUUCCAACAUCAUCUGCUUAAAUUCAAGGACAUGUCUGUCUUGGACAUCCAGAAGAAAUGCAAUCACACGCCAAAAUAUCCCAUUCCGAGCAAUCCCAUCGGAUUCCUGUGAGGAUGAAAGGGCUCCCUUUAUCUCUCUGUGCUGUUAGAAAUCGGCCGUUUCGUAUAGUGGUUGUAAUAAUUAGAUUACCCGUUUGUCAAGGGAGAGAGAAAUUAUAUUAUUUAUUGCAGCAUUAGAAAGUCUUGUUCAUGAGGUUACGGACCUGGUCUUCCUUACACAACCUCAAUCUCAUCUCACUCAAUCUAUUCUCACUGUAAUGUUGGUUACAAGCUGAUAUAUACAUUGAAGGGGGUGUCUACCUAGCAAAGAUCAGGUUUCCAAGACAGUUACCUCCAUGCCAAAUGGUCAAUGUAAACAUUCCUGUGGUUAGUAGAGCACAACCUACAGAGAGAUAAUCUACACAGAGAUGUUUCUGUUGUUCUCAUUAUCUAGGCGCAUUCACCUACAAUGAAACGUACAUUCACAUUGUAAUUGUUAAUGCUCAGAUACCACAAUGCCUUUCUGUCAAAUCCUUUUAAAUCAUUGUUAUACCUGCAGCAUUGAUUGAAAUAUGUAAAUUAAAUAAAGGUUUUCACCAUAUUGUCAAUGUAUUUGUGUUGAUCCACCAGCUUUGUAGACAAUAUUUACAUCUGCAAGUAGAAAAGAAUAUUGUACUCCGUAUGCAAAUAAAUGAUAAAGCAUCCACU